This 76-nucleotide transfer RNA is filed under the name Pseudomonadota bacterium. RNAcentral describes it as "Proteobacteria bacterium tRNA-Thr". It matches the Rfam family "tRNA". From Rfam's summary of the family: Transfer RNA (tRNA) molecules are approximately 80 nucleotides in length. Their secondary structure includes four short double-helical elements and three loops (D, anti-codon, and T loops). Further hydrogen bonds mediate the characteristic L-shaped molecular structure. tRNAs have two regions of fundamental functional importance: the anti-codon, which is responsible for specific mRNA codon recognition, and the 3' end, to which the tRNAs corresponding amino acid is attached (by aminoacyl-tRNA synthetases). tRNAs cope with the degeneracy of the genetic code in two manners: having more than one tRNA (with a specific anti-codon) for a particular amino acid; and 'wobble' base-pairing, i.e. permitting non-standard base-pairing at the 3rd anti-codon position. The record is from RNAcentral. RNAcentral also lists the same sequence under 1 other name. Lineage: Bacteria; Pseudomonadati; Pseudomonadota.
GCCGACGUAGCUCAGCUGGUAGAGCAGCUCACUCGUAAUGAGCAGGUCCCCGGUUCGAGUCCGUUCGUCGGCUCCA